This 376-nucleotide ribosomal RNA is filed under the name uncultured bacterium. RNAcentral describes it as "bacterial SSU rRNA". It matches the Rfam family "Bacterial small subunit ribosomal RNA", at positions 521 to 895 of the family's 1533-position model. The record is from RNAcentral.
UAAUACAGAGGGGGCAAGCGUUAUUCGGAAUUAUUGGGCGUAAAGGGCGCGUAGGCGGCCUGGCAAGUGGAAGGUGAAAUCCCUCGGCUUAACCGAGGAGCUGCCCUCCAAACUGCCUGGCUUGAGUCCGGGAGAGGUGAGUGGAAUUCCCAGUGUAGCGGUGAAAUGCGUAGAUAUUGGGAGGAACACCAGUGGCGAAGGCGGCUCACUGGACCGGAACUGACGCUGAGGCGCGAAAGCGUGGGGAGCAAACGGGAUUAGAUACCCCGGUAGUCCACGCCGUAAACGAUGAGUGCUUGGUGUAGCGGGUAUCGACCCCUGCUGUGCCGAAGUCAACACAUUAAGCACUCCGCCUGGGGAGUACGGUCGCAAGGCU